This 483-nucleotide ribosomal RNA is filed under the name uncultured bacterium. RNAcentral's name for it is "partial 16S ribosomal RNA". It matches the Rfam family "Bacterial small subunit ribosomal RNA", at positions 30 to 506 of the family's 1533-position model. The record is from RNAcentral.
AUUGAACGCUGGCGGCAGGCCUAACACAUGCAAGUCGAGCGGAUGAAGGGAGCUUGCUCCUGGAUUCAGCGGCGGACGGGUGAGUAAUGCCUAGGAAUCUGCCUGGUAGUGGGGGAUAACGUCCGGAAACGGGCGCUAAUACCGCAUACGUCCUGAGGGAGAAAGUGGGGGAUCUUCGGACCUCACGCUAUCAGAUGAGCCUAGGUCGGAUUAGCUAGUUGGUGGGGUAAAGGCCUACCAAGGCGACGAUCCGUAACUGGUCUGAGAGGAUGAUCAGUCACACUGGAACUGAAAAACGGCCCAGACCCCUACGGGAGGCAGCAGUGGGGAAUUUUGGACAAGGGGGGAAAGCCUGAUCCAGCCAUGCCGGGGGUGUGAAGAAGGUCUUCGGUUUGUAAAGCACUUUAAGUUGGGGGGAAGGGAAGUAAGUUAAAACCUUGCUUUUUUGACUUUACCAACAAAAUAAACACCGGCAAACUUCGU